Non-coding RNA from Olsenella sp. oral taxon 807, 48 nucleotides. Lineage: Bacteria; Bacillati; Actinomycetota; Coriobacteriia; Coriobacteriales; Atopobiaceae. The record is from Rfam.
UGGGCUGGCCGAAAGGCCCUGGUCCACCCAAGGGCGGGGACGUUUUCC